GGUUGGUCCUUGUGCAGUGGUGUUUACAACUAAUUAGUCACAACCAGUUACAGAUUCCUUUGUUCCUUCUCCACUCCCACUGCUCAAUUACUCUCACUCUUC
Molecule: Y RNA, 102 nt
Filed under: Prolemur simus (greater bamboo lemur)
Lineage: Eukaryota; Metazoa; Chordata; Mammalia; Primates; Lemuridae
Description: Y RNA (ENSPSMG00000020568.1)
Rfam family: Y RNA
About the family: Y RNAs are components of the Ro ribonucleoprotein particle (Ro RNP), in association with Ro60 and La proteins. The Y RNAs and Ro60 and La proteins are well conserved, but the function of the Ro RNP is not known.
Source: Rfam by way of RNAcentral